GACUACUGGCAGGAUCAACCAGGUAGCAUUCACAUUUAGACCUCAAUGCAUCCCAAGACGAGCGCGGAACGGAAGGGCUCCACGAGCUCCGAGGUAAGCACGAGGGUCGCCCGAGCGGAAGCAAAGCGCUUCGACACAUAGAGAUCGCACGGCCUACGAAGGACCGAUCGAUUACAAGAGAUAUCACCAUACCCGAGAGCACGCAGACGGCAUCGACGAACCGACGCGGACGGGAACGCCCAGGAGACGGACGGCCGACCGGUAAGAGAGCGCCGACACCCGCACGAUGCCUCCCAACGCAGAGGAUGCGGGGGAGAGGCGGGGGAACAAAUACAGGGACAACUUCAAGCCCGUGGACCGCAACCGGGUAUCUAACGCAGGAACCCAACCAUCGCCAGCAUCCGUAGCACGGGGAGGGCGAUCAAAUGAAACGGACAUGGCCACAGCAGUUCGGUGCACGAAGCACGGAGCCAGCCGCGGGCACAUAUCCCGUUUGCCACUCAUGCGUCGUCCCAACGCUGCCCGAGAGAACGCCCGACGACACAGCGCCCCCGCACGGGGGAGGGGGCGCAGGACGAACGCGACGAAGCACGAGCAAGCCUGCUAGA
RNAcentral lists this unclassified non-coding RNA (608 nucleotides) under Antherotoma naudinii. RNAcentral's name for it is "partial external transcribed spacer; ETS". Lineage: Eukaryota; Viridiplantae; Streptophyta; Magnoliopsida; Myrtales; Melastomataceae. The record is from RNAcentral.